CGACGAUUCUUUUUGUAAGAUUGAUCUCCUCAAACUCUGUUUUUCUUAUAAGUGUGUCUCCUCUGUUACCCAAAAAGAUAACGACAAAAUUAUGUUUCCUAAUUAUUUGUUACACCCUCAGUUUUUGGCUGAUUUGAAUCAAAGCAAUCCGGUGAAAUGUUUCAAGAGUUAUAUUCCUUUUGUCGAUAUGUUUUUGUGACUCAUUAACCGUAAGCCGUAUAAACCUAUUGUCUAUAUAUUUGAGUUCCCUAGAAGAUAAGGUCAUGGUCAAAGGUUGUUGUUACUCGAGCCCGGCAAUUUUGAUAAGAUCAGAGUAAACAUUUUGAUGCUUAAAAUAAACAGAUUCUUGUAAAAUG
RNAcentral lists this long non-coding RNA (356 nucleotides) under Mytilus galloprovincialis (Mediterranean mussel). The record is from RNAcentral. Lineage: Eukaryota; Metazoa; Mollusca; Bivalvia; Mytilida; Mytilidae.